Molecule: long non-coding RNA, 437 nt
Organism: Pipra filicauda (Wire-tailed manakin)
Lineage: Eukaryota; Metazoa; Chordata; Aves; Passeriformes; Pipridae
Exons: 2
Source: RefSeq, a predicted model, not a curated record
GGGCAGGAGGGUGCGUGGCCGGGCCGGCAGCGCCGGCGGGGGGGAGCUGUGCCGCUGGGGCCCUGACAGGGUCUGUGUUCCCAGGGAUCGCCGGGAGGUACCUGCGGGGACAGUGGGUAGAGCUGCAGAUCGUCAUUGACGUUAUUGAAGGCAUGACUCCUGACAGCACUGCUGUCAAAAGCCUGGCACUUCAAACCCAGGAAAUCCUAAGAGUUGUCCAAAGACCUCAGUCUUCUCCAGGUUCCAGCGGUUUGAAGAUCAGCUCCAGAAUGUGCAGAAUAGGGAGGUUCCUCUGUGGGGCAGCUGCCGGAGGUCAGCGGAGAACUGAUCCUGGGAACCCUGUCUGAUGGGACCGCCUGAGCCUGCGGGACAGACCCCUCUGUGCAACCAGUUCCUGUUCCUCCACCUUGAGACUAUGAAAUCCCUCUUAGCAUACA